This 3009-nucleotide long non-coding RNA is filed under the name Canis lupus familiaris (dog). RNAcentral describes it as "lncRNA (ENSCAFG00845016659.1)". Lineage: Eukaryota; Metazoa; Chordata; Mammalia; Carnivora; Canidae. The record is from RNAcentral.
UUUUUUUUUUUUUUUUUUUUAAUUUUUAUUUAUUUAUGAUAGUUACACACACACAGAGAGAGAGAGAGGUGCAGAGACACAGGCAGAGGGAGAAGCAGGCUCCAUGCACCGGGAGCCUGACGUGGGAUUCGAUCCCAGGUCUCCAGGAUCGCGCCCUGGGCCAAAGGCAGGCGCUAAACCGCUGCGCCACCCAGGGAUCCCAGCUUGUCCUUUUUAAAAUGGUCCUUUUAAAUUAUUUUAAAUAAUAAACAUUAAUCAUCUUGACCUCUAUACAUUCAAGGAAAUUUCCCAUGGUACUGUUUUCUUGACAUACAUAGGAGGCUACCUCAUUUAUGAAACAGAAGAUUUCAAUUUCUUUUCAGUGUGUUAGAAAGACAUUGGGAAUGAAGUAAAACCUCUCUAAAUAACUUGAUCAUGACAGUCCACCUACCUCAGCUUUCAGUGUCCGACUAAAAGCCCAGCUUAAUCAAUUCUUGCUUAAUCAGAAGGGAGCUAGUGGUGACUGAGAUUAAAAGGCAAGGGAGUGCAAGUGGUAAAGGGGCCACAGUAUCAGUAAAAUUUCUUAAGGGCUUUGUUCUAAUAAGUGGACAUAAGAGGAACAAAAAAGUAUCUUCUAAUGUGGCCUGUGGAUAAUCUGAAAUAGGAAAACUCAAGAAAUUUAUAAUAUAUAGUAAUGAACACUUAGGAAAAUGCUUCACUGGUGGCUUUUCAUACUAUACUGGCAGCUUGAUGAUGAAGUUUUGUUUUCAUUUGUUUUCUUUGGCAGGAAAAUGGAUAAUCACUGACAACAGACUAUGCACUUGUGCCUUAACCUUACCGCUUACAUGUUAAACUCCUGCAGGACGCACCCCUUUCCUAGUGGAACAGGGCCCGUGGCAAUGAUCUUUCCUCUCACUGGAGUUUUAAAAAAUGCUGUCAUUGAGUGUGGCAAUGGUGUAGGAGUUAACCCACAAGUUCCCAAUCUAUUAAAGAUGUUUCUAGCCUUUCAGUGAGUGCUGUACAGUAUUUUGGAGUUGAAUGUCACUAACCAUGUGUGUGUGGUGGGAACUAUCAGUAUAAAAUAACUAUUGGAAAUAUGAUUAAAUCUGUCAUACUAUUCUGGAGCCUCUGACGUAUGACUUUUAUUCUUUAACAAAUAAUACUUUUUAGUAUCUGUCCAUUAUUAGAAGAGCCAAUUUGUUAAAUAUUUUAAAUAUUUUUCUCUUAUGAUCUUCCCUAACCGUAGUCUCAUAAUUUAGUCUAUAUUGGAAUAGUAUUUCAGGGACUGAGGGUUUCUUGAGUGCUAUUUUUUGACCCCAUUGCAAUGAGCAGACUUUAUAGUUGGUGCCUUUUUUUCGUACCAAAGAAAAAUUAGAUCAAAAUUGGUGCUAAAUUUCACGUUCCUUUUAAAAUGAUUUUUUUCUUUUUUAAUAUAUGUAUAUCACAACAGGAAAUGUAUAGAUCCAGCAGUAUUAUGCAUGUUGUAUUCUGUAUAUACAUUUAAGGACAAAAACCUCACCUAUAAAAAGCAAUGGAAUUCCCAAAUCUGCUUAGAGGUAUAUAAUUUUUGUUAACACAUAAGGCUUUAAAGUAUAAAACUGAUAAGAAAAUGAUCACUAAAUGAAAACUUAGUAAUGAAUAUACCCCCUAAGGUAGUAACUUUAAGGAAAAAGUCCCAUACAAUGUUGUAUCUCAAAAAAUAAAAAGUCCCUUGUCAAUGUUUCUAGCACAAAGUUAGCUAUUUAAAGUAUUCUGUAACUCUGAGGGUGUAUAGAAAAAGUUUUAUGUAUAUUUUAUUGUAUAUAUAUUUACAUAUGUACAAAAUAGCUUUCUAAUGAACUUUAGGUAUUUUAAGCUAUUUUUUCAGGCUAAAAGUAGAGGGGAGUCAUCAGUCUUUAAACUUGGAUAAUGAGCUACAUUUAAACAAAACUUCUCACUGGAAGUAUCAUUGUUCAUCUUUCAGAUUUAGCAUAAAGACUUAAGUCAGUAAGGGCUACAUCUAGGUUAACGUCCACGAUCUCAGACCUAAGAUUUAUUAAAGGGUUCUCAGCAUCAUGGUUGCAGCCGACUAUGACACCCAACUAAAAUUCCACAUGGACCUCUGAGUCUUCAUGUCUUAUAAGUAGGAUUCUGGUGAAGUGAGGACAACAGGUUUUUAUUUAAUCCUGCUGACUUUUAUAGACUGUCUUACUCUAUGAGGAUUUUACAAAUAUAAAUCAGGAAAAUGAUACGCUGUAGGAAAUGAGGAAAACCAUACGUUUAGAAUCUACUAGAGUAUACUGGAUUCUCUGAAAUAAUAACUCCUUCUGCUCACAUGACUUCUAUGUGGAAAGGAGAAUGGGGGCUUGUUAAUCAGAAGUUACUGUACAGUGAGAUUAAAUAUCCCUUUACUAACUUCUGAUGUGACUUAAUUUAGGUGGUUUGAGAGCUGGAAGAUUGCAAAGGCACUGUUCAGUGCUUGGUAACUUUUUAUUUUCUUGGUUUGUUCUCCUAUCAGUUUAUUUUAGCCUGAAAAUUAUAGCUACAGCACAGAACCCUGCAGUAUUAAGAGAGAGCUUGGAUUUUUUAAGUAUCUCCUCAUAUAAUAUGACAUUUUUCACGUCAACUUAUUUUCAUGUUUAUCUGAAAAGUAAAUUCUAAAUUAUUUGCAUAUUUUCCAAGUUAGAAAAACAUGCUAUAUCGUAGACAUCAAAACCAAGUUAUUCCAAGUGCACGCUGUAGACUGCAGUGAGGCUCUGCUUCUCUGCCUACACAGAAUGCCAUUUUUGGCACAAUAGUUGUUUAAAUAUAGAUCACUGUGUGAAAUGAUUAUGCUGGAUUUGAUCAGUAUGCAGUAUUUUAGUACUUGCCUUUAAAAAAUGAUUUUUUCUUUUUAAAGAGUAUAAUUUAUGAUUGAUUUUUUUAUAAUGUGCAAUUUCAUAUAGGUAACCAAAACCUUUUUAAUGGGAAGAGCUUUGUAAUCAUUUAGAGAAUAAAAUCAUUUUACUGUAGAACAAUGUGAUAUCCUCAGUAAAUACAAUAAAAAAUUUU